This is a non-coding RNA of Pelobates cultripes (western spadefoot toad), 348 nucleotides long. The record is from the annotation of a GenBank genome assembly. Lineage: Eukaryota; Metazoa; Chordata; Amphibia; Anura; Pelobatidae.
GUUGAUCCAAUUUAGCCAAAUAAUUGUUUAUUCCAUAGCUGUUGUUAAAAGCGCAAAUUUUGUGCAGGUCAUCCCUUUAUACUAUGUGUAUUGCUUUCCCCUGACUGCAAGCAUCCAGCCACUUUAUUUUAGAGCUUAUGAGUGCAAGGACCCCUUGGAAUGUGUAUAUGUGUAUAUAUAUAUACAUACAUACAUACACAUACACAUGGGCGUCUGCAGGAAUUUUUCCGGGGGGAGGGGUAUAACUGUAACGACAUCCAUGCUCUGCCCCCUUUUGACAGUGUCAUGAAGGGGAGGGGCAUACUCAUUAUCACAUAAAGAAUAGACAUGCAAGAGAUUGAGAAACAU